Molecule: ribosomal RNA, 468 nt
Filed under: uncultured bacterium
Lineage: Bacteria
Description: partial 16S ribosomal RNA
Rfam family: Bacterial small subunit ribosomal RNA
Source: RNAcentral
GACGAACGCUGGCGGCGGGCUUAACACAUGCAAGUCGAACGGAAAGGCCCUGCUUUUGUGGGGUGCUCGAGUGGCGAACGGGUGAGUAACACGUGAGUAACCUGGCUUGGACUUUGGGAUAACUGCAGGAAACUGGUGCUAAUACCUGAUAGGAGCUCCUGCUGCAUGGUGGGGGUUGGAAAGUUUCGGCGGUUGGGGAUGUACUCGCGGCUUAUCAGCUUGUUGGUGGGGUAGUGGCUUACCAAGGCUUUGACGGGUAGCCGGCCUGAGAGGGUGACCGGCCACAUUGGGACUGAGAUACGGCCCAGACUCCUACGGGAGGCAGCAGUGGGGAAUAUUGCACAAUGGGCGGAAGCCUGAUGAAGCAACGCCGCGUGCGGGAUGACGGCCUUCGGGUUGUAAACCGCUUUAGCCUGUGACGAAGCGUGAGUGACGGUAAUGGGUAAAGAAGCACCGGCUAACUACGUG